CCAAUAGCGUAUAUUAAAGUUGUUGCAGUUAAAAAGCUCGUAGUUGAACUUCAGGCCUGUCCAGACGGUCCGCCUUAAUUGGUGUGUACUGUCCUUGGGUGGGUCCUACCUUCUGGCGAAGCGGCAUGGCCUUAAUUGGUUGUGUCGGGGAACCAGGACUUUUACUGUGAAAAAAUUAGAGUGUUCAAAGCAGGCAAAUAUGCUCGAAUACAUUAGCAUGGAAUAAUGGAAUAGGACGAUGGUUCUAUUUUGUUGGUUCUAGGACCGUUGUAAUGAUUAAUAGGGAUAGUUGGGGGAAUUAGUAUUCAAUUGUCAGAGGUGAAAUUCUUGGAUUUAUUGAAGACUAACUACUGCGAAAGCAUUUGCCAAGGAUGUUUUCAUUAAUCAAGAACGAAAGUUAGGGGAUCGAAGACGAUCAGAUACCGUCGUAGUCUUAACCAUAAACUAUGCCGACUAGGAAUCGGGCGAUGUUGACAAAAUGACUCGCUCGGCACCUCAUG
This 500-nucleotide ribosomal RNA is filed under the name uncultured Glomeromycotina. RNAcentral's name for it is "partial small subunit ribosomal RNA". It matches the Rfam family "Eukaryotic small subunit ribosomal RNA", at positions 591 to 1092 of the family's 1831-position model. The record is from RNAcentral. Lineage: Eukaryota; Fungi; Glomeromycota.